GGUAGUCCAUGCCGUAAACGUUGGGCGCUAGGUGUGGGCCGCAUUCCACGUGGUCCGUGCCGCAGCUAACGCAUUAAGCGCCCCGCCUGGGGAGUACGGCCGCAAGGCUAAAACUCAAAGGAAUUGACGGGGCCCCGCACAAGCGGCGGAGCAUGCGGAUUAAUUCGAUGCAACGCGAAGAACCUUACCAAGGCUUGACAUGCAGGGAAAUCCUCCAGAGAUGGUGGGUCCGCAAGGGUCCUGCGCAGGUGGUGCAUGGUUGUCGUCAGCUCGUGUCGUGAGAUGUUGGGUUAAGUCCCGCAACGAGCGCAACCCUCGUUCGAUGUUGCCAGCGGGUGAUGCCGGGGACUCAUCGGAGACUGCCGGGGUCAACUCGGAGGAAGGUGGGGAUGACGUCAAAUCAUCAUGCCCCUUAUGUCUUGGGCUUCACGCAUGCUACAAUGGCCGGUACAAUGGGCUGCGAGACCGUGAGGUGGAGCGAAUCCCAAAAAGCCGGUCUCAGUUCGGAUCGGGGUCUGCAACUCGACCCCGUGAAGUCGGAGUCGCUAGUAAUCGCAGAUCAGCAACGCUGCGGUGAAUACGUUCCCGGGGCUUGUACACACCGCCCGUCACGUCACGAAAGUCGGUAACACCCGAAGCCGGUGGCCCAACCCGUAAGGGAGGGAGCUGUCGAAGGUGGGACUGGCGAUUGGGACGAAGUCGUAACAAGGUAGCCGUACCGGAAGGUGC
RNAcentral lists this ribosomal RNA (729 nucleotides) under uncultured bacterium. RNAcentral's name for it is "bacterial SSU rRNA". It matches the Rfam family "Bacterial small subunit ribosomal RNA", at positions 789 to 1515 of the family's 1533-position model. The record is from RNAcentral.